RNAcentral lists this long non-coding RNA (347 nucleotides) under Lathyrus oleraceus (garden pea). Its description in RNAcentral is "Pisum sativum (pea) long non-coding RNA (PSAT_LNC037146)". The record is from RNAcentral. Lineage: Eukaryota; Viridiplantae; Streptophyta; Magnoliopsida; Fabales; Fabaceae.
UCAGAGUCAAGUUGAUAUUAUUAAGUUAUGUUGAAAUUCUAAGUUUGGGGUAAACACCCCAUGAGUUCCAAAAGCCCAGGUAAAUGCGAAAACAAAGAAAAAAAGAUAGAAUCAUCGAGAGAAAAAGAAAGAAAAAAAAGAAAAUAAACUCGAGGGUUCAAAGAAGCACGAGCCAACGAAGGGCACUCGGUUGGAAAACAAAAAUAGAAAAGAAAAACCGAGCGAAAAACAAAAAGAGACAAUUUUAUAGAAAAACUAACCAACGCAAUGAAAAUAAUGGUAACAUUGACUCUGAACCAAAAACCACUUGUUUCCGAUUUUUUUAAAUAUCCACACCAAAAUCCAAG